AACUACUUUGGCAGAUUGAAGUGUAAUAGAUUUAGGAUCUAUCGAUGUAUAUAGUACAGGUAGUA
Molecule: transfer RNA, 65 nt
Filed under: Gryllotalpa henana
Lineage: Eukaryota; Metazoa; Arthropoda; Insecta; Orthoptera; Gryllotalpidae
Description: tRNA-Leu
Source: RNAcentral